UAAAAAAUGGUUGACAUCCCAUCUUAAGUGUCAAUGAAACAGUCAAAACAAAACAGUCCUUCUGGCACUAAACAAAGAGGUGUCAGUUUUCUUCACAUUACAAAGAGGAUACAAACAAUGGUUUAAUCAACAUUCUAAUGCAAUUGCCUGGCCUAAAAUCCUGCAUUCUUACAUUUGAAGAAAAACACUGGAAUACAUUAAGUUUGUUGUAACUUUUUAAAACUCAACAGUAGAUGUUGGCUGGUUGGCAGGUGGAGGAGCAGUAUUUUGGCUGGUUGCUGGAUGUUGGCUGGCUGCUGGUAGGUGCGGGAGCAGUCUUUUGGCUUGUUGCUUUAUGUUGGCUGGCUACUAUAGGUGGAGGAGCAGUGUUCUUGGCUGGCUGGUGAUAGGUGAGGUAGCAAUCUUUUGGCUGGUUGCUGGAUGUUUGGCGGGCUGCUGGUAGGUAGAGGAGCAGUGUUUUAACUGGUGGCUGGAUGUUGGCUAGCUGCUGGUGGGAGCAAUGGUUAUUCCAGAUGUUACCAUUGUGUAGCAAGAAUUAUUGAAUGAGAUAGGAGUAUGGGUCUAAUAAUUUAAAAUACAAUAUACUAUUUAAAAUACACAGUGGCAAAAGAGUUAAUCAAAAACACACACACAAAAUGAAUCAAAGCAUCAAAUCAAAUAACUCAGACCAAACAAAAUGAUAGCAGAAGAUUGAAAAUAAUACACACAAACCGAAAACAAAAUGCCUUGAGAUCAGGGACAAAACAAGUUUUGAUUUUCAAAAAAAAAAAUCUUGACUAUUUAAAAAAAAACAUGUAUACAUCUUUGUUAAAUGAGGCUUUGCCUAUAUAACCAUGUUUUAGAACAACCUCCCAGUUUUAAAUUUGUCAUAAAUGACAAAUGUUUGCGGGAUCAGAACUAGAUUUUCGUCAACACCAUCAGAAACAUACAAAUGUCAAAAAAAUUAUUCUGAAUGACCUUAUCACAGAUAUUUUUACUCUUAGCUGUUUCUUGGUUCUCUUAAUUGUAUACACAUGUUUUUAAAUUAAUCAUAUCUCCUUUUAAAAGUUAGAUUUGUCAUUGUUUAAUAAUUACAGUUUAGGUUCUAUGUAUUAACCAAUAUAACAUUUAAUCUCCAAUAUGAACAGAGAUACUUAGAAGUGUUCAAAUUACACAUUAACUUUGAAAAUGCAACAAUGUUAUAGACAAAUAUUCUUGAUGGAACAAAACAUAUCAUCUUUUUUUUUUUAAAAAACAACAUAAAGUCCAUCUGACAGAGUUGACAAGGCAUCGACGGUGUUGACACAAAACUGACGAUGGUGACAAACUUGGAGUACAAGGACUAGACAGUAGUCCAUGAACAUAACCCCAUUGUAAAGUCCUCAACCUCUUCAAUAUAUAUGCAGCUUAUACACAAACUACAAACCCCAUCUCCAGAAAAGUUGGGAUAUUUUCCAAAAAGCCUGUCAAUAAAGUGACUACAACAACGUGGCUUCAUACACACAGAUUGCGUGUUCUUUAAAGGUCUGCUGCCAGUUCAGAUCUGUCUCCUAUUGAAAAUGUAUGGCGCAUCAUUAAGAGUACAAACAGACAGUGAUGACCACAAACUGUUGAGUAGCGGAAGUUUUUGUAUCAAGCAGGAAAUAACAAUAAUUCCAAUUAUAAAACUGGCACAAUUAGUAUCUUCACUUUCCAAACGAUUAGUUGUUAUUCGAGGAAAGGUGAGGAAACACAAUGGUAAACAUGCCUCUGGCUCAACAUUUAUUUGCGUGUGUGUUGCACACAUUUGUUUAUAUUUUCAAAAUACAGUUACAUUGAUCAGUAAAACUAUUGAAAAUCUUUCCUUUGUACUUUUGUCAGUUAAAUAAAGGGUCAUGUAAAUUAA
This is a long non-coding RNA of Micropterus dolomieu (smallmouth bass), 1864 nucleotides long. RefSeq lists it as uncharacterized. The transcript has 2 exons. The record is from RefSeq and is a predicted model, not a curated record. Lineage: Eukaryota; Metazoa; Chordata; Actinopteri; Centrarchiformes; Centrarchidae.